RNAcentral lists this ribosomal RNA (253 nucleotides) under uncultured bacterium. RNAcentral describes it as "partial 16S ribosomal RNA". It matches the Rfam family "Bacterial small subunit ribosomal RNA", at positions 524 to 776 of the family's 1533-position model. The record is from RNAcentral.
UACGUAGGUGGCAAGCGUUGUCCGGAUCUAUUGGGUUUAAAGGGUGCGUAGGCGGCUUUGUAAGUCAGUGGUGAAAUAUGGCAGCUCAACUGUCAGGGUGCCAUUGAUACUGCGGAGCUUGAGUACAGAUGAGGUAGGCGGAAUUGACGGUGUAGCGGUGAAAUGCUUAGAUAUCGUCAAGAACACCGAUAGCGAAGGCAGCUUACUAGGCUGUAACUGACGCUGAGGCACGAAAGCUGGGGGAGCAAACCGG